AAACGACUCUCGGCAACGGAUAUCUAGGCUCUCGCAUCGAUGAAGAACGUAGCGAAAUGCGAUACUUGGUGUGAAUUGCAGAAUCCCGCGAAUCAUCGAGUUUUUGAACGCAAGUUGCGCCCGAAGCCUUCCGGCCGAGGGCACGUCUGCCUGGGUGUCACGC
This 163-nucleotide ribosomal RNA is filed under the name Quercus suber. Its description in RNAcentral is "5.8S ribosomal RNA". It matches the Rfam family "5.8S ribosomal RNA". Rfam says of the family: 5.8S ribosomal RNA (5.8S rRNA) is a component of the large subunit of the eukaryotic ribosome. The record is from RNAcentral. Lineage: Eukaryota; Viridiplantae; Streptophyta; Magnoliopsida; Fagales; Fagaceae.